Molecule: ribosomal RNA, 470 nt
Filed under: uncultured bacterium
Lineage: Bacteria
Description: partial 16S ribosomal RNA
Rfam family: Bacterial small subunit ribosomal RNA
Source: RNAcentral
GACGAACGCUGGCGGCGUGCCUAACACAUGCAAGUCGAGCGAGAGACUUCGGUUUCUAGCGGCGGACGGGUGAGUAACACGUGGGUAACCUGCCUCAAAGAGGGGGAUAGCCUCCCGAAAGGGAGAUUAAUACCGCAUAAAAUUAGAUCUUCGCAUGGAGAUUUAAUUAAAGGAGCAAUCCGCUCUGAGAUGGACCCGCGGCGCAUUAGCUAGUUGGUGAGGUAACGGCUCACCAAGGCGACGAUGCGUAGCCGACCUGAGAGGGUGAUCGGCCACAUUGGAACUGAGACACGGUCCAGACUCCUACGGGAGGCAGCAGUGGGGAAUAUUGCACAAUGGGCGAAAGCCUGAUGCAGCAACGCCGCGUGAGUGAUGAAGGCCUUCGGGUUGUAAAACUCUGUCUUCUGGGACGAUAAUGACGGUACCAGAGGAGGAAGCCACGGCUAACUACGUGCCAGCCGCCGCCGUAA